GUAGCUGUUGUUCUGCCAAGAGCAUCGCAGCGUAGCUAAGUUUGGAAAGGAUAAACGCUGAAAGCAUCUAAGCGUGAAGCCAACUCUAAGAUGAAUCUUCUCUAAGCUCUCUAGAAGACUACUAGUUUGAUAGGCUGGGUGUGUAAUGGAUGAAAGUCCUUUAGCUGACCAGUACUAAUAGAGCGUUUGGCUUAUCUUUAAUAAAGCAU
This 209-nucleotide ribosomal RNA is filed under the name Campylobacter coli. Its description in RNAcentral is "partial 23S ribosomal RNA". It matches the Rfam family "Bacterial large subunit ribosomal RNA", at positions 2714 to 2925 of the family's 2925-position model. RNAcentral also lists the same sequence under 1 other name. Lineage: Bacteria; Pseudomonadati; Campylobacterota; Epsilonproteobacteria; Campylobacterales; Campylobacteraceae. The record is from RNAcentral.